GACGAACGCUGGCGGCGUGCUUAACACAUGCAAGUCGAACGGAAAGGCCCUGCUUUUGUGGGGUGCUCGAGUGGCGAACGGGUGAGUAACACGUGAGUAACCUGCCCUUGACUUUGGGAUAACUUCAGGAAACUGGGGCUAAUACCGGAUAGGAGCUCCUGCUGCAUGGUGGGGGUUGGAAAGUUUCGGCGGUUGGGGAUGGACUCGCGGCUUAUCAGCUUGUUGGUGGGGUAGUGGCUUACCAAGGCUUUGACGGGUAGCCGGCCUGAGAGGGUGACCGGCCAAAUUGGGAAUGAGAGACGGCCCAGACCCCUACGGGAGGCAGGGGGGGGGAAUAGUGCAAAAGGGGCGGAAGCCGGAUGGAGCAACGCCGGGUGGGGGAAGACGGCCUUGGGGUUGUAAACAGCUUUCGCCUGUGACGAAGCGUGAGGGACGGUAAGGGGUAAAGAAGCACCGGCUAACUACGG
RNAcentral lists this ribosomal RNA (467 nucleotides) under uncultured bacterium. RNAcentral describes it as "partial 16S ribosomal RNA". It matches the Rfam family "Bacterial small subunit ribosomal RNA", at positions 28 to 506 of the family's 1533-position model. The record is from RNAcentral.